RNAcentral lists this ribosomal RNA (270 nucleotides) under unidentified marine bacterioplankton. RNAcentral's name for it is "partial 16S ribosomal RNA". It matches the Rfam family "Bacterial small subunit ribosomal RNA", at positions 67 to 339 of the family's 1533-position model. The record is from RNAcentral.
CAGCAUAGAGAGCUUGCUCUCUGAUGGCGAGUGGCGAACGGGUGAGUAACAUAUCGGAACGUGCCUAGUAAUGGGGAAUAACUACCGAAGGGUUAGCCAAUACCGCAUACGACCUACGGGUGAAAGCAGGGGAUCUUCGGACCUUGCGUUACUAGAGCGGCCGAUAUCUGAUUAGGUAGUUGGUAGGGUAAAGGCCUACCAAGCCGACGAUCAGUAGCUGGUCUGAAAGGACGAUCAGCCACACUGGAACUGAGACACGGUCCAGACUCC